AUAAAUUAGAAUGUUGUGAAAAAGUUAAUUUAUUUCAGUAAUUCAACUCAAAUUUUGAAACUUGUGUAUUAAAUAAAUUCAAUGCACACAGACUGAUGUAGUUUAAGUCUUUGGUUCUUUUAAUUGUGAUGAUUUUGACUCACAUUUAAUCAAAACCCAUUAAUUCACUCAACAAAGUAGAAUACUUCAUAAGACCAAUAAAAAAAUUUUUUUAAAUUUUUUUAGUGAAUUGUUGGCCUUCUGGAAAGUAUGUUCAUUUACUGUACAUGUACUCAAUACUUGGUAGGGGCUCCUUUUGCUUUGAUUACUGCCUGAAUUCGGCGUGGCAUGGAGGUAAUCAGUUUGUGGCACUGCUGAGGUGGUAUGGAAGCAAUACCCCAUAGAUUCUCUCUGGGGUUCAGGUCUGGUGAGUUUGCUGGCCAGUCAAGCACACCAACACCAUGGUCAUUUAACCAACUUUUGGUGCUUUUGGCAGUGUGGGCAGGUGCCAAAUCUUGCUGGAAAAUGAAAUCAGCAUCUUCAAAAAGCUGGUCAGCAGAAGGAAGCAUGAAGUGCUCCAAAAUUCCUUGGUAAACGGGUGCAGUGACUUUGGUUUUCAAAAAACACAAUGGACCAACACCAGCAGAUGACAUUGCACCCCAAAUCAUCACAGACUGUGGAAACUUAACACUGGACUUCAAGCAACUUGGGCUAUGAGCUUCUCUACCCUUCCUCUAGACUCAAGGACCUCCAGAUGAAAUACAAAACUUGCUCUCAUCUGAAAAGAGAACUUUGGACCACUGGGCAACAGUCCAGUUCUUCUUCUCCUUAGCCCAGGUAAGACGCCUCGGGAGUGGCUUAACAAGAUGAAUAUGACAACUGUAGCCAAAUUCCUUGACACGUCUGUGUGUGGUGGCUCUUGAUGCCUUGAACCCAGCCUCAGUCCAUUCUUUGUGAAGUUCACUCAGAUUCUUGAAUCGAUUUUGCUCGACAGUCCUCAAAAGGCUCAAAAGGCAAAAGGUUAUCUCGGUUGGUUGUGCAUCUUUUUCUUCCACACUUUUUCCUUCCACUCAACUUUCUGUUAACAUGCUUGGAUACAGCACUCUGUGAACAGCCAGCUUCUUUGGCAAUGAAUGUUUGUGGCUUACCCUCCUUGUGAAGCGUGUCAGUGAUUUUCUUCUGGACAACUGUCAGAUCAGCAGUCUUCCCCAUGAUUGUGUAGCCUAGUGAACCAAACUGAGACACCAUUUUGAAGGCUCAGGAAACCUCUGCAGGUGUUUUGAGUUGAUUAGCUGAUUGGCAUGUCACCAUAUUCUAAUUUGUUGAGAUAGUGAAUUGGUGGGUUUUUGUUAAAUGUGAGCCAAAAUCAUCACAAUUAAAAGAACCAAAGACUUAAACUACUACUUUUUGUGCAUUGAAUUUAUUUAAUACACAAGUUUCACAAUUUGAGUUGAAUUACUGAAAUAAAUGAACUUUUCCUCGACAUUCUAAUUUGAGAAGCACCUGUAUAUAUAUUAUACACACACACACACACAUGCACACACAAAGAAAAACAAGUAGAUAGAACAGAAAAAAUUAGAAAGCUAGUGUUAGUUUUUUUUUUUUUAAUAAAAAAAGAAGAUAAUAGAUAAAGUAGAAUUAAAAUAGAAUAGAAAGUGCUAGAGUUAGAGGGUCAAAUAAAGAUGGAACAGAUGUGUUUUUAGUCGUUUCUUGAAGAUGGCUAAGGGCUCAGCUGCUCGGAUUGAGUUGGGCAGGUCAUUACACCAGGAGGGAUCAGUUAAUGAUAAAGUCAGUGAAAGUGAUUAUGUGCAUCUUUGAGAUGGCACAAUGAUACGCUGUUCACUUGCAGAACGCAAGUUUCUAGAGGGCACAUUACUCUGAAGUAAUGAAUUUAGGUCAAUGGUAAUUUAAGUAAAUUAUGAUUAUAGGAACUAAACUGUUUGGUUACCAAUAUUCUUUAAAGGGGUCAUAUGACUUUGCUAAAAAGAACAUUAUUUUGUAUAUUUGGUGUAAUGCAACAUGUUUAUGUGGUUUAAGGAAAAAAAAAAACAUUAUUUUCUACUG
Molecule: long non-coding RNA, 2043 nt
Organism: Cyprinus carpio carpio
Lineage: Eukaryota; Metazoa; Chordata; Actinopteri; Cypriniformes; Cyprinidae
Source: Ensembl